RNAcentral lists this transfer RNA (77 nucleotides) under Paludihabitans sp. RNAcentral describes it as "tRNA-Gln". It matches the Rfam family "tRNA". From Rfam's summary of the family: Transfer RNA (tRNA) molecules are approximately 80 nucleotides in length. Lineage: Bacteria; Bacillati; Bacillota; Clostridia; Eubacteriales; Oscillospiraceae. The record is from RNAcentral. RNAcentral also lists the same sequence under 1 other name.
UGGGGUAUCGCCAAGCGGUAAGGCACAGGACUUUGACUCCUGCAUUUCCGGUGGUUCGAAUCCACCUACCCCAGCCA